Molecule: ribosomal RNA, 497 nt
Filed under: uncultured bacterium
Lineage: Bacteria
Description: partial 16S ribosomal RNA
Rfam family: Bacterial small subunit ribosomal RNA
Source: RNAcentral
GACGAACGCUGGCGGCGUGCCUAAUACAUGCAAGUUGAGCGCUGAAGGUUGGUACUUGUACCAACUGGAUGAGCAGCGAACGGGUGAGUAACGCGUGGGGAAUCUGCCUUUGAGCGGGGGACAACAUUUGGAAACGAAUGCUAAUACCGCAUAAAAACUUUAAACACAAGUUUUAAGUUUGAAAGAUGCAAUUGCAUCACUCAAAGAUGAUCCCGCGUUGUAUUAGCUAGUUGGUGAGGUAAAGGCUCACCAAGGCGAUGAUACAUAGCCGACCUGAGAGGGUGAUCGGCCACAUUGGGACUGAGACACGGCCCAAACUCCUACGGGAGGCAGCAGUAGGGAAUCUUCGGCAUUGGACGAAAGUCUGACCGAGCAACGCCGCGUGAGUGAAGAAGGUUUUCGGAUCGUAAAACUCUGUUGGUAGAGAAGAACGUUGGUGAGAGUGGAAAGCUCAUCAAGUGACGGUAACUACCCAGAAAGGGACGGCUAACUACGUG